GCAGCCGCCACGGGAAUACGAAGGGGGCUAGCGUUGUUCGGAUUUACUGGGCGUAAAGCGCACGUAGGCGGAUCGAUCAGUCAGGGGUGAAAUCCCAGAGCUCAACUCUGGAACUGCCUUUGAUACUGUCGAUCUGGAGUAUGGAAGAGGUGAGUGGAAUUCCGAGUGUAGAGGUGAAAUUCGUAGAUAUUCGGAGGAACACCAGUGGCGAAGGCGGCUCACUGGUCCAUUACUGACGCUGAGGUGCGAAAGCGUGGGGAGCAAACAGGAUUAGAUACCCCUGUAGUCCCUGUCUCUUAUAC
RNAcentral lists this ribosomal RNA (302 nucleotides) under uncultured bacterium. RNAcentral's name for it is "partial 16S ribosomal RNA". It matches the Rfam family "Bacterial small subunit ribosomal RNA", at positions 508 to 807 of the family's 1533-position model. The record is from RNAcentral.